This 376-nucleotide ribosomal RNA is filed under the name uncultured bacterium. RNAcentral describes it as "bacterial SSU rRNA". It matches the Rfam family "Bacterial small subunit ribosomal RNA", at positions 524 to 898 of the family's 1533-position model. The record is from RNAcentral.
UACGUAGGUGGCAAGCGUUGUCCGGAUUUAUUGGGCGUAAAGCGAGCGCAGGCGGUUUCUUAAGUCUGAUGUGAAAGCCCCCGGCUCAACCGGGGAGGGUCAUUGGAAACUGGGAAACUUGAGUGCAGAAGAGGAGAGUGGAAUUCCAUGUGUAGCGGUGAAAUGUGUAGAGAUUAGGAAGAAUACCAAUGGCGAAGGCGCCUUUCUGGACUGUAACUGACACUGAGGCUCGAAAGCGUGGGGAGCAAACAGGAUUAGAUACCCUGGUAGUCCACGCCGUAAACGAUGAGUGCUAAGUGUUGGAGGGUUUCCGCCCUUCCGUGCUGCAGCAAACGCAUUAAGCACUCCGCCUGGGGAGUACGACCGCAAGGUUGAA